CCAUUUAGAGGAAGUAAAAGUCGUAACAAGGUUUCCGUAGGUGAACCUGCGGAAGGAUCAUUAUUGAAUAAACAUUUGAUAGGCUGUUGCUGGCCCCUGGGGUAGUGGUGCACGCUUGUCAUUUAUUUGUUUAUUUUUUCACCUGUGCACCUAUUUGUAGACCUUAGAAUUUGGGGACUGCUGUGCGAGUAUGCCAGCUUUUCCUUGUCUCUCUCUAGGUUCUAUGUUUCUCACAUACUCCUACGAAUGUAAUAGAAUGUUGAUCUGGGUCUUUGAUGCCCAUAAAGUUAUAUACAACUUUCAGCAAUGGAUCUCUUGGCUCUCGCAUCGAUGAAGAACGCAGCGAAAUGCGAUAAGUAAUGUGAAUUGCAGAAUUCAGUGAAUCAUCGAAUCUUUGAACGCAUCUUGCGCUCCUUGGUAUUCUGAGGAGCAUGCCUGUUUGAGUGUCAUUAAAUUCUCAACUACACUGACUUUUUGAUUGGUGUGGCUUGGAUUUGGGUUUGUGGGCUUUGUUGUAGUCUGCUCCCCUGAAAUUGAUUAGCAGUGACUUGGUGGAACUGUCUACAGGUGUGAUAACUAUCUACAUCCUAGAUGUCUGCUUGAUGCUGCUUUCUAAACCUCAUUAUUUGACAAUCUUGACCUCAAAUCAGGUAGGACUACCCGCUGAACUUAAGCAUAUCA
Molecule: ribosomal RNA, 681 nt
Filed under: Pseudosperma arenicola
Lineage: Eukaryota; Fungi; Basidiomycota; Agaricomycetes; Agaricales; Inocybaceae
Description: eukaryotic LSU rRNA
Rfam family: 5.8S ribosomal RNA (bases 296-449)
Source: RNAcentral